AUGGCCGCGCCGGAGGCACCCACGUGCUACGUCGGGAUCGCGCGCCAGUCCGCCGCCUUCCGCCUCAUGAAGCAAAUGGGAUGGGAAGAAGGUGAAGGCCUCGGGAAAGACAAGCAGGGUAUAAAGGGGCAUGUCAGAGUGAAACAAAAGCAGGACACACUAGGUGUUGGUGUGGACAAUCCUCAGAACAAAUGGGCGUAUGAUACCACCCAGUUUGAUGAUAUACUAAAGAAACUGAAAGUGCAAUCUACAACUCCUGUUAAAGGUAAAAUUGAGGAUGUAAGCAGUUCACCUGACAGUACACCCAAGAAAGAUAAACCUGCAAAAGAUGAAGUCGCUAAAGUUACCCGGCCUCAAGGAAGAUACAAGAAAAGGGAGAGGGGGAAAAGUGUGAGGGGUUAUUCAGCAGUUGAUCUUGAAGGCAUACUUGUUCGGAAGAAGGAAAAUGAUUGCAAGGUGGAUCAGGAAGUUCAACCAUCAUGUAUGGAAGAGCCUGAUAUCACCAUCGGCAAGGGUGCAGUAUCCCAAGCUGAAGAUGUGAACUGGUGGGGCCACAAGUUUGGAUAUGUAUCAGGAGGCUUUUUAGGAGCAAAAUCUCGCAAGAAUAAAAAAGAUAUUUCUAAUGUCCGUCAGAUGUUUGGGGAAGAUGAUCAAGAAAAUCUGUACAACCUUGUUCAGGACAAAGCUACAUCUGGAAAGCAGGGUCUUGGCAUCAAGGACCUGCCGAUGAAAGUUGGUGGCCAGCGUUGGAAGGGGAACAAAACCUCUCUUGGUGAUAGUGAUGAGGAAAAUUCAACCCAGUCUGAAUUAUCAGAAGUGGAAGAAGAUGAAGACGAGGAAGUAUCUGCCAGUGAUGCUAAAGUAAAUGAAGUACAUGUGAAAACCAUAAAAGAAGUUUGUGUGGAUGCUAAACCUAAAACCAAGUUCAAGAAGCUUUGCAAAAAAAUUCUUCGUCAGGCUCCAUCUCAGUCCAUGAAAUUGAAGGAGCUCAAGGAAGCUGUUGAAGAACAAUCAACUAUUUUGUCCGACUUCUCCUGUAGACGUGAAGCUCUAUCAUUCUUGAAGAGGAAGCUCCAGGGAAGCAAGAAAUUUAAUCUGGAGGGCAAAAGGGUGCAUCUUGUAUCAUGA
Molecule: ribosomal RNA, 1128 nt
Filed under: Triticum aestivum (bread wheat)
Lineage: Eukaryota; Viridiplantae; Streptophyta; Magnoliopsida; Poales; Poaceae
Description: partial small subunit ribosomal RNA
Source: RNAcentral